Molecule: long non-coding RNA, 1190 nt
Organism: Bufo gargarizans (Asiatic toad)
Lineage: Eukaryota; Metazoa; Chordata; Amphibia; Anura; Bufonidae
Exons: 3
Source: RefSeq, a predicted model, not a curated record
AGGCACUUGAGGUCAAUUAUCGCCCUGGAUAAGGAGGAUAAUAUAGACUAUUGUGUAUUCGGAGAGUGCUAUCUGAGAACAGAGCCGCUUGUCUACCCUUAGGAGACUGCAACCACUAAGAGUACUAUGCCCUCUCACUGAGUGAAGUAACUGAUGAUAUUUCCAGCAAAGGAAUGGAUGGCAAAUGGUUGACCAGGAACAGGGUGGUUAGCCCCCCUCUUGAUAGGGGUGGGCCAGUCCUGCUUCCUGCCAGGAUGAGGAGUCCCGGUUGGGCUACAGACUAGAGAGGAGGCACACUACAGAGCUCCUGCAUCUAAAGAGGAUUCUCCAAAGUAAAUUACAGUUAUAUACUGCCUGUGUCCUCUCUAUAUCCACUCAUUGAAUGAUAUUUCCAGCAAAGGAAUGGAUGGCAAAUGGUUGACAAGGAACAGGGUGGUUAGCCCCCCUCUUGAUAGGAGUGGGCCAGUCCUGCUUCCUGCCAGGAGGAGGAGUUCCUGUUGAGCUACAGACUAGAGAGGAGGCACACUACAGAGCUCCUGCUCCUAAAGAGGAUUCUCCAAAGUAAAUUGAGAAGACAUACAGUGGAAUGAACAGCUACAUCCAGCAUCUGAAGACACUGCUGACACCCAGGACAUUACUAGGCCAGUACAACCUAAGUGCUAAACUGCAGCCAUCCAACCUGCCUCCAUAUUUUUUAUUGGUGCCAGAAGAUUUCCCUCAAAAUAUGCUGCUACUGGGUGUAUUUAAAGUUCUAUGUUGCAUUUAGUAAAAAAAGAUGAUUAAUUCUGGCCUUCUGCGAUACCUCAUUUCCGCUGCACCAAUCCCCAGGGAGCAGUGGCCUGAGGGAGUACACUGUGACACAACACCUCAUCAGGGCCACUACCACUCCCAUUCUCUGCACUGCCUCCUUUGGGGCUUGCAAAAUAUAGGCUGCGAUAUGUUAGUGAUACAGUGUUUUUCACAUAUCAUGCCCUCCCGUGGAGUAUGGAUACUUUUAUACUAGCGUUGCCGGAACUUCCUGCCAGAUCCGGAAAGCCGCGUACAAACGAAAAAACUUUUUCCGAAUCCGUUAGUCGGAUCCGAUGAAAUACUGGAUCCAUCUCAUCCGGAAUAACAGAUCCGGUAUUCAAAGAUCAAAAGCAAAAAUAGCUCCUCCUAUGUCCCGGCCCAUACGCAGACCGGAAAACCAG